This 67-nucleotide transfer RNA is filed under the name Gammaproteobacteria bacterium. RNAcentral's name for it is "tRNA-Leu". The record is from RNAcentral. Lineage: Bacteria; Pseudomonadati; Pseudomonadota; Gammaproteobacteria.
CUGUUUCUGGUCGGUAGCUGCCUUCGGGAGGCAGGGGCCGGAGGUUCAAAUCCUCUCACCCCGACCA